UUUGGGAUCAUCUGCUGUGGGCAAGGUUGCCAAGUAAAUCAAGCACUACAUCAGGCUGCCCAGGGCCCCAUCUGGCCUGGCCUUGAUGGGAUUCCCUCUAGGGAUGGGACAUCCACUGGGUAGCAUCUCUGGGCAACUUGUGUCAAUGCCUCACCAUCCUCUGAGUGAAAGAUUUUCUCCUAGAAGCUAAUCUAAAUCUCUUUAAGUUUAAAAAUAUUUCUCUUUGUCUUGUCACUCCCACUACAGCUAUCAGGACAACAUCUUGCAAGAGGAUCUCAUCCAGUAAUUCAUGAAACAGCCAGAAGUUCGCUUUUCUGAAGUUCAGAGUUUCCAUGUUUAUGUAAACCGAAGUGUAAACUUAAGACCUGAAUUCUUAGCUUGAAUAACUUACAGGAUGGCGGCGGAGUUCUGCAAUGCAUUCAGAGCGGAGUAACCGACUGUUUUGUGGAUGAAGGAGCACCCUGUUGUUGGCAGCUGCAGUUGGUUCAGUGCUACUGGAACUUCGUUACAGCUGUCAUGAGCCAUGAUGAAAUUGUGCCACUCGUGGCUUUUGGGGAAGAUUGCGCAGAUGGCUUUCAGUUUUGAACUGAGUCUGGGACCAGAGCCUGUAAGAGAUUCGGGUGGCUGAAGGCAGUAAAAAGUGAGAUUUAUCUAAGUAAAAAAUUCACUUUUAACAACUUUCCUUUAUUUCUGCUGAAAUCUUGAACUCACUGAAGCCUCAGAGCUUAUAUCAUUACCCUUCCUUGAGGCUCAAAAGUUCUGAUUCUGGAAAACUUGACAAGGACACAGCACUCCUGACAAAACCUACCCAUUUCUAACCAAACCCAUGCUUGGUACUUUUUUUUUUUAUCUGUGUCACUCAAAAUGUAGUACUCCCACUGCCUCUCCUUAUAAAAGGCAGCUCUCUGUUACUCAGUGUCUCAGUUGACUGUGCUUUUAGCUGAGAAAUAGUAAUUAAAUUCAUUUUCCUCCACGUGAGUAGUAUUUUUCCUAAAAUCAAAAACAGAGUAUUCCAUUGUGGGUUUGUUUGUUUAUUUUUGAGGUGAGUUGAUCACAACCAAAAGACAUAAACUGAAUUUGAAAGUUUUUCAAAAGACUAGUGUACACCUUGCACUGGGGUAUUGAGGUCUAUCUUCAGUAAGUUCUGGCUGAGCUUUGGUUCUGUGCUCAUGCAGUCAUGCUGUCUGCACCAUGAAACAGAAAUGUUGUCUGUACAGUAACAGACAAAGUAGUUACUGCUAGUUCUAAAACCAAGUUGUCCUUUGAAG
RNAcentral lists this long non-coding RNA (1268 nucleotides) under Phasianus colchicus (ring-necked pheasant). Its description in RNAcentral is "lncRNA (ENSPCLG00000016058.1)". The record is from RNAcentral. Lineage: Eukaryota; Metazoa; Chordata; Aves; Galliformes; Phasianidae.